RNAcentral lists this ribosomal RNA (253 nucleotides) under uncultured bacterium. RNAcentral describes it as "partial 16S ribosomal RNA". It matches the Rfam family "Bacterial small subunit ribosomal RNA", at positions 524 to 776 of the family's 1533-position model. The record is from RNAcentral.
UACGUAGGGGGCAAGCGUUGUCCGGAAUUACUGGGCGUAAAGGGCUCGUAGGCGGCCAACUAAGUCGGAUGUGAAAUCCCCAAGCUUAACUUGGGAACUGCAUCCGAUACUGGAUGGCUUGAAUCCGGGAGAGGGAUGCAGAAUUCCAGGUGUAGCGGUGAAAUGCGUAGAUAUCUGGAGGAAUACCGGUGGCGAAGGCGGCAUCCUGGACCGGCAUUGACGCUGAGGAGCGAAAGCUAGGGGAGCAAACGGG